Non-coding RNA from Sphenostylis stenocarpa, 71 nucleotides. NCBI's taxonomy places the organism in Eukaryota, Viridiplantae, Streptophyta, Magnoliopsida, Fabales, Fabaceae. The record is from the annotation of a GenBank genome assembly.
AUUUUAGUAGCUUAGUGGUUGGAGUUUUAGUCUCCAACUCUAAGGUACUUGGGUUUGAAUCACGACAAAUA